CUGGCAGCAAGCUAUUAUAUACAUAAUCUUCAACCAACUGAUGCUAAAGUGCAGGCCACCACCUGCACAUGAUCUACAACUAACUAAUGCUAGAUAAUAGGAACUAUAACUACUCCUAAAUGUUCUCCACAUAGUAGGAGACUUAUUCAAACUAGUAACAAGAGGAUAAUAAAACAUAUACUAGAAGUUACUUCAGUUAGCAACCUACAGAUAUCGUUAAUACACCCCCUCAAGGUAGGCAAGGUGCAACAAUGCCUAACUUGGAACGACACCUAGUAAAUGUUGAUUUAGGCAGUGGCUUGGUGAAUGUAUCAGCAAGUUGAUCACAAGCAUGCGUAUGAGUAACAUGGACUCGAUGAUCUUGAACUUGGUCACAGACAUAAGCAAAAUCAACAGCAACAUGUUUCAUACGGGUAUGAAACACUGGGUUGUGAGAUAAAUAAGUCACUCCAACAUUGUCACAGUAGAUUGUUGGCGUCUUUGAAAUGGUGACAUGUAACUCAUGAAGUAAGUUUCGCACCCAAGUGAGCUCUACAGGUGCAUUGGCGACAGAUUUGUACUCUGCCUCGGUGGAUGAGUGAGCUACUGCACGUUGUUUUUUUUAUGACCAACUGACUGGAUUUGGUCCAAAGAAAAGAAUGUAACCUAAUGUAGAGAUUCUGUCAUUCGAAUCGCCAGCCCAGUCCGCAUCAGCAUAUAUAUACAAAUUGGAGUCAGAGUUGCGAAUGAUGCGAAGUCCUGAACUUGUAGUUUCUUUAAGAUACCGUAGCACUCUUUUAACCGCUUUCCAAUGUUCAUCAGUCGGGACAUGUAUAAAUUGAGACAAUUUAUUGACUGCAUAAGAGAUGUCAGGCCGUGUGAGGGACAAAUACUGCAAUUUGCCAAGGGUACGCCGGUAGCGAGUGACAUCAGUAUGUGGCGAACCGUCAGCCACUCGAAGUGGUACAGUGGAACACAUGGGGGUAGAAACACCUUUGCAAUUUUCCAUAUCUAGUUCGAAAAGAAUAUCCAGAAUAUAUUUUGAUUGAGAAAGAAUGAGACCGUCCGGUAUGUGCUUAAUGCCAACACCUAAGAAGUAGUUCAAAUAGCCAAGAUCUUUCAACGAAAAUCUAGCUGCCAACGAACUGCUGAAAAAUUUGAUCACUUUUGGAUGGUUGCCAGUGAUUAUGAUGUCGUGAACAUAGACAAGAACGCAAAUAGAUACAGCCAUAUGCUUCCAUACAAAUAGAGAGGUGUCAGAUUUUGUUCUGACAAACCCCAUUUUCAGCAGAUGUUCAUGCAGAGAAUUAUACCAAGCCCGGGGGGGUGUUUGAGUCCAUAAAUAGCCUUCUUCAACUUGCAAACAUGAGUCGGGAAUAUGGGAUUGAUAAAUCCUUGGGGUUGAGACAUAAACACUUCUUCGUCCAAUUUUCCUUGAAGGAAAGCAUUAUUGACAUCAAGUUGAUGGAUUGGCCAAUUGUGUUGCACAUCGAUAGAUAGAACUAACCUGACCAUCGUUGGUUUGACAACGGGACUGAAUGUCUCAUGAAAAUCCUAACUAGGGCACUGCGUGAACCCUUUUGCAACUAGACGAGCUUUGAAACGGUCUAUAGAGCCAUCUGCUUUUCGCUUGAUCCGAUACAACCAUUUGCAGUCCACCACAUUAUUGGACAGGUCUCACGUUACGAGUUCCCAAGUUUGAUUUUUGAUUAAGGCAUCAUACUAUUCUUGCAUUGCUUACCUCCACUCUUCAUGUUUAUCAACAUGUUUGAAAGUGACAGGUGUAGGAAUCAAAUGGGUUAGAAAAUAGAGUUUUCUCUUUGGCUUGGAGAUAUUAUUCUAAGACCGAGUUAUAAUUCCGUUUAAGGGUGGUGGGGGAAUCGGGGCAGCAUGUAUUGCAGGAGAGGGAUCACUGGAUGCUAGGGGUGGAGGAGUGGUGGCGCUAGGGGCUGGGAGUGAUUGUUGUGUUUGUAUGAAUUUACCUGUAGUUUUGCGUCUCUGGUACGUGAGUAAAGGCUUGUGGGUGGUAGUAUCAUGCAAACAAGAAGAAGCAGGAAGUUGAAAAGAAGGAGCAGGAAAUUGUGUAUUAUCUGAUGUCUCUGCAACUACUGGUACUUGGUCGUGGCUAUUGGAGUGAGCAUCGCUUGGGGAAGAGGUUGUAUGGUGAGAGUUGGACUCUACAGGGAUUGGAAUAGGUGAUGGGAUAAAUAGAGGAGGAGUUGGAAUUGUUGUUGUAGUCUUCUCUUUGGAUUCAACAACUUCCCAACUUAAUUGGGAAGUAUAUUUCCGCAAGUGAAUAAACAUUCUUUUAAAAGGAAAUUCUUUUUCAAAAAAUUGUACAUCACGACUUACAAAUUUUUUGACUGAACUGGGUCAAAGCAGAUAUGAGCAUGGUGAGUCUGGGAGAUACCUAAAUAGACACACGGGAUGGACUGUGGCUUAAGUUUAUUUUUAGUAUAAGGUUUAAGCCAUGGGUAACAAAGACAAUAAAAAAUUCUUAGGGUGGUAUAAUCAGAAAAUCGACCAAAUAAUUUUUGGUAGGGCGACUGAUUAUUCAGGAUGGGAGUGGGAAGUCUGUUAAUAAGGUAGACAGCAUAAUGAUAGGCAAAAGGCCAAAAAUCAGGUGGUAAGGAGGUUUCAUGAAGAAGAGUUUUAGCGGUUUCAAGAAUAUGAAGAUGUCUACGUUCAGCUAUGGCAACACGUUGAGGUGUGUAUGGAGGGGAAACCAAGUGUUCAAUGCCAUUUUUCUGAAGAUAGGGCUGAAGACCGAUGAACUCACCCCCUCCGUCCAUAUAAAUUGAAGAAAUUUUAGUUUUGAAGAAAUUUUCUACUAAAAGAUGAAACUUUGAGAAUAUUGAAGCAACCUCACUUUUGUUUUUGAGCGUAUACAACCAAGUAUAUUUGGUGUAUUGGUCAACAAAAAUGCAGUAAUAUAAUUUUUUAUCAAGUGACAAAAUAGGUGAUUGUCCCCAUAAAUCACUAAAGACAAUCUGAAGAGGAAUAUUACUGGACAAAGUGAGUCGUUGAAAUGGCAAACGAUGUGCUUUAUUAGAAGAACAAGAAUUACAAGGUUCAAACUUGUCGUUUCCAGCAACAAUAGGAAAAGAAAAUUUAUUCAGAAUAAAAUUUACAAUUCUAGAGUGGGGAUGACCCAAUCGACCGUGCUAGAGUUGAUGUGGGGCUUUUGUGGAGGAGAGGUGAAUGGAUGGCUUCUUGAAUUGCAGAUGCAGCCACUCAUACAGUCCAUUAUUGUUCUGGCCUUGUACCAGCGGCUUCAGAGUAUGCAAGUCCUUCACAACAAAAGUAAAAGGGAAGAAUUCAAUAGAUGUGCGGUUAUCUUGACAAAACUUAGCAAAAGAAAUGAGAUUCUUCUUUAUUAAAGGAGCACAAAGUGUGUCAGAAACCUUAAAAGCAGUAUUAGAUGCCUGAAUCAAAGUUGAACCAGUAUGAGUGAUGGGAAUGGUUUUACCGUCACCCAUAGAAAUUUCUUCUGUUCCUGUAUACUCUUUAAGGUUGUGGGGUUCACUAGUGACAUGGUGAGUUGCACCAGAGUCUAGAACCCAUUUCCAGACGAUUGUAGGCCAGAUGCAAAGUUAACCUUAGCUUCAAAAUGAUUGUGCGACUUGGAGCGACAUACAUCUGUUGUGUGACCAAACUUUUGGCACAAUUGACAUUUGACAGAUUGCUUAAAUUGUUUCCUGUUUUGUUGAUUGUUGAAAUCCAAUUGCGGAUUAUUGGUAUUCCAUUGGCGAGACUGAGAUGGUUUUCGUUGCUAAUUGUUGAAGCGAGAACUAUUCCUAUUGAAUUGCGGAGGUGUGUUGCACUUCUGGACAACAACAGUUGUGAUCAUAGAGGAUGUUUUUUCCAGAUCUUGAUGUUUGAGGAAAAGCUCAUGAUCUGUGAGCAUGUGAAAUAAUUCUUCAAAGCUCAAGGAAAAGUCUCGUGCGCGUAUUGCAGCAGAGAUUUCACGGUACUCGGGGACAAGACCACUUAGAAUUUUGACAAUAAGUUCAUCGUCAUUGACAAGUGAACCAGCAACUUUGAAGCAUCAGAGAGAGAAUGAACCUCCUGUAAGUAUUCUGCAAUUGUUUUAGAAGCCUUCUUGGUAUUUUGCAAUUGAUCUCGCAAGCUAAAGAUGCGAGUAUAACUUUUGUUGGCAUAGGCUGUGUGAGGGAGUUCCCACGCUUUGUUAGCAGAUGUUGCUGCGGCAAUAGUUGGAGCAAUGGUAGGAUCGACCGAUACCAUCAUUGCUUGUUGGAUCAAUUGAUCUUGAGAGAACCAAAUAUGAUAAUUGGGAUUUGGUACAGUAAGAUUAUUUUGGAUAAUCGUAGGGGAUGGAGCUGUUGUGGUUCCAUCAAGAUGUCCCAUAAGUUGAUGCCCGUUUAGUAGCAUCACAAGUUGUGCUUUCCAAGUUGAAAAGUUGAGGUUACCUUGUAACUUAAGAGGUAACUGAGCAACAGGGUUAAAUUGCACCACAUGAGUGGUGGCAGAAACUAUAGGACUGUUGGCAGCAGUAGCAUCAGUAACUGGAGCCACAUAUGAGCAAGCUUUAAAAGAAAUAGAUGGAUCUAACUCGGUGGAUCUUAUAAUGCUCUGAUACCAUAUAAAGAUUAAGAUGAGAAGGUCAAAAGAUAAUUUUAUUAAGUAUGGCAGCAAGCUAUUAUAUACAUAAUCUUCAACCAACUGAUGCUAAAGUGCAGGUCACCACCUGCACAUGAUCUACAACUAACUAAUGCUAGAUAAUAGGAACUAUAACUACUCCUAAAUGUGCUCCACAUAGUAGGAGACUUAUUCAAACUAGUAACAAGAGGUAAAUAAAACAUAUACUAGAAGUUACUGCAGUUAGCAACC
Molecule: long non-coding RNA, 4830 nt
Filed under: Solanum tuberosum (potato)
Lineage: Eukaryota; Viridiplantae; Streptophyta; Magnoliopsida; Solanales; Solanaceae
Description: long non-coding RNA (STUB_LNC011505)
Source: RNAcentral